CUCUGCUUCUGCUAGUCUGUCUCACCACUUUCCCCACACUUGCCAGUCAGCUUUGGCCUCAGCGCCUUUUGCAGGCAAUCGUAUCUAGAAUUUGACAAUAUUUUUUUUGGGGGGGGGGCUUGAUUUUAUUUAUUUUUGGCAGUUAUCUUUGCAUUAUGGUAAGAUGUUGGCCUUUCCAUUUAUAGUGGUGAUUUAAAGUAUCCUUUAAAACCUUAAGUACAAGUACGUGGUUAAGUACUGUACGAAGAAAUAACUGUGGGGAUGGUGGGGGGAUUAUGGUAACAAUAAUAGACCUGGCAGAGAAGCGACUGAGACAGUAGAACAUGACCCUUGAAGUAGGUGAGGCUGCUGGUUGGGUCUUAUCCGUCUUUUGAGGAGGAGGAAAACACAGAUAACCACAGGAGGAAUGAGUGGAAGAGUGUCAUGAGUUUCAAGACAGCACCUAGAUAGACACCGGUCUGGGCUGCCCAGCUCCCUCAACCUUCGGGAUUCAACCCAUGCCACUUCUUGCAGGAAGUCCUCCAAGAUGCCUGGCUCUGAAGCCAUCUCUCUUCCCAUACACUGAUCACCAUCCACUUUCUCUGGAACCAGGCAACACAGAGGGAAGAUUCCAGGUGAAGAUGGCCAUCAAGCUGCAGAGCCCUCACACCCAGAUCCUGAAGAUGACGGAACCGAGGAUGCAAAAUCACAGCUAGAACAAGUUGUGCAAGUCAUGUGUUUCUCCAUAAGACCGGGCCCUCCUGGCCGGCAGGAGGGCCCUGAGUCAUCAGACCCUGCCUGACCAAGGCCAGCCCCAAAGCCCUGACCACAUUGGUCUGGGGCAGGUGAAUGAGAAAACCCAAAAGGUGUCCACCAUCCAGGGAAGUGAGGCAGAAGUCUGGGCUCACAUAGCAGAGAUGUCCCCAAAGAGACAUGCCUAGGAGGGGGUUUCCAGGUGGGACCUAGGGAGGGAAGGUCACUGUGCUGGGGGGACAGCAGGCCUGGUAGGAGAGUGACUUCAGGCAGUGGGAGCACUGUACUGGAGA
RNAcentral lists this long non-coding RNA (1025 nucleotides) under Felis catus (domestic cat). Its description in RNAcentral is "lncRNA (ENSFCAG00000048261.1)". The record is from RNAcentral. Lineage: Eukaryota; Metazoa; Chordata; Mammalia; Carnivora; Felidae.